Molecule: long non-coding RNA, 661 nt
Organism: Oncorhynchus keta (chum salmon)
Lineage: Eukaryota; Metazoa; Chordata; Actinopteri; Salmoniformes; Salmonidae
Exons: 3
Source: RefSeq, a predicted model, not a curated record
UCAGGUAAACAUAAACACACACACACUCCCCUUAUUCAGGUAAACAUAAACACACACACACUCCCCUUAUUCAGGUAAACAUAAACACACACACACUCCCCUUAUUCAGGUAAACAUAAACACACACACACUCCCCUUAUUCAGGUAAACAUAAACACACACACACUCCCCUUAUUCAGGUAAACAUAAACACACACACACACUCCCCUUAUUCAGGUAAACAUAAACACACACACACACUCCCCUUAUUCAGGUAAACAUAAACACACACACACACUCCCCUUAUUCAGGUAAACAUAAACACACACACACACUCCCCUUAUUCAGGUAAACAUAAACACACACACACACACUCCCCUUAUUCAGGUAAACAUAAACACACACACACACUCCCCUUAUUCAGGUAAACAUAAACACACACACACACACCCCUUAUUCAGGUAAACAUAAACACACACACACACACUCCCCUUAUUCAGGUAAACAUAAACACACACACACACACUCCCCUUAUUCAGGUAAACAUAAACACACACACACACACUCCCCUUAUUCAGGUAAACAUAAACACACACACACACACUCCCCUUAUUCAGGUAAACAUAAACACACACACACACACUCCCCUUAUUCAGGUAAACAUAAACACACACACACACAC